Molecule: long non-coding RNA, 474 nt
Organism: Gordionus sp. m RMFG-2023
Lineage: Eukaryota; Metazoa; Nematomorpha; Gordioida; Chordodea; Parachordodidae
Exons: 4
Source: RefSeq, a predicted model, not a curated record
UUUUAUAUUUUGUUUUUUUUUUCGAUAAUAUUAAAAUAUUUUAUUAUUUCAAAGAGAAGAGAAGAGAAGGAAAAAAUUUAUUUUCUUAGAAAUUAUGAAGAUCUUAAAAUAUUUCUUAGCAUUCUUAGCAAUAGUAAUGGCGUUAUCCAUUAGGAGUCAGGCUAAACCACUGUCGAUUGGGGAAUGGAAGAAUGACAGAGAUCGGGAUCAUCUAGGAAGCUUUAACGUCACAAAUGAUGAUACCAAGGAACCAGAGGAAGAAUGCACAACCCAAGAUGGAAUAAUAAAUUCUGAUGGAGAAGAUGAUGAAUAUGAAGAUGAUGAAAAUGGAGAUGAUGACAACUAACCUAAAUGAUGGACUGAAAAGAAUAUUAUUAUUUCUUUACGCAAUUCAUUUUUAAGAGAACUUUAUAAAAAAUUUAUGUAACAAAAAAAAUGUAUUACAAAAUAAACUCUUCUCUUCAUUUUACGAUA